Gossypium hirsutum (cotton) is the source of this 122-nucleotide non-coding RNA. The record is from Rfam. Lineage: Eukaryota; Viridiplantae; Streptophyta; Magnoliopsida; Malvales; Malvaceae.
AAAUGCCAAGAGUGAUGAAUCAAUUAGAUGUGUGAAUGGGGGUAUUGAAUUUAUUUUCUUUUAAUAUUUCCCAUCUUGAAUUCAAACUUUCGAGGCAUUAGAAUUUGUCUGACUUGCCAUUG